This 434-nucleotide ribosomal RNA is filed under the name uncultured Lachnospiraceae bacterium. RNAcentral's name for it is "bacterial SSU rRNA". It matches the Rfam family "Bacterial small subunit ribosomal RNA", at positions 341 to 792 of the family's 1533-position model. The record is from RNAcentral. Lineage: Bacteria; Bacillati; Bacillota; Clostridia; Lachnospirales; Lachnospiraceae.
ACGGGAGGCAGCAGUGGGGAAUAUUGGACAAUGGGGGAAACCCUGAUCCAGCGACGCCGCGUGAGUGAAGAAGUAUUUCGGUAUGUAAAGCUCUAUCAGCAAGGAAGAAAAUGACGGUACUUGACUAAGAAGCCCCGGCUAACUACGUGCCAGCAGCCGCGGUAAUACGUAGGGGGCAAGCGUUAUCCGGAUUUACUGGGUGUAAAGGGAGCGUAGACGGCAUAGCAAGUCUGAAGUGAAAUGCAUGGGCUCAACCCAUGAACUGCUUUGGAAACUGUUAAGCUAGAGUGCAGGAGAGGUAAGUGGAAUUCCUAGUGUAGCGGUGAAAUGCGUAGAUAUUAGGAGGAACACCAGUGGCGAAGGCGGCUUACUGGACUGUAACUGACGUUGAGGCUCGAAAGCGUGGGGAGCAAGCAGGAUUAGAUACCCUGGUA